RNAcentral lists this ribosomal RNA (407 nucleotides) under uncultured bacterium. Its description in RNAcentral is "partial 16S ribosomal RNA". It matches the Rfam family "Bacterial small subunit ribosomal RNA", at positions 28 to 526 of the family's 1533-position model. The record is from RNAcentral.
GACGAACGCUGGCGGCGUGCCUAAUACAUGCAAGUCGAACGCAGUUGCGAACGGGUGAGUAACGCGUAGGUAACUGCCUCAUAGCGGGGGAUAACUCUUGGAAACGAUAGCUAAUACCGCAUACUGUGCGAUGGACCUGCGUUGGAUUAGCUAGUUGGUGAGGUAAAGGCUCACCAAGGCGACGAUACAUAGCCGGUCUGAGAGGGUGAUCGGCCACACUGGGACUGAGACACGGCCCAGACUCCUACGGGAGGCAGCAGUAGGGAAUAUUGGGCAAUGGGCGGAAGUCUGACGCAGCCAUGCCGCGUGUGUGAAGAAGGCCUUAGGAUCGUAAAGCACUGUCGGUCGAGAGGCGGUACCGACAGAGAAAGCAACGGCUAACUCCGUGCCAGCAGCCGCGGUAAUUC